CCUACGGGAGGCAGCAGUGAGGAAUAUUGGUCAAUGGACGCAAGUCUGAACCAGCCAAGCCGCGUGCAGGAAGACGGCUCUAUGAGUUGUAAACUGCUUUUGUACGAGGGUAAACGCAGAUACGUGUAUCUGACUGAAAGUAUCGUACGAAUAAGGAUCGGCUAACUCCGUGCCAGCAGCCGCGGUAAUACGGAGGAUGCAAGCGUUAUCCGGAUUUAUUGGGUUUAAAGGGUGCGUAGGCGGUCGGUUAAGUUAGGGGUGAAAUCUCGGGGCUCAACUUCGGAAUUGCCUCUGAUACUGUCCGGCUAGAGUGUAGUAGAGGUAGGCGGAAUGUAUGGUGUAGCGGUGAAAUGCUUAGAGAUCAUGCAGAACACCGAUUGCGAAGGCAGCUUACCGGGCUACUUCUGACGUUGAGGCACGAAAGCGUGGGGAGCAAACAGGAUUAGAUACCCCUGUAGUC
RNAcentral lists this ribosomal RNA (460 nucleotides) under uncultured bacterium. Its description in RNAcentral is "partial 16S ribosomal RNA". It matches the Rfam family "Bacterial small subunit ribosomal RNA", at positions 338 to 795 of the family's 1533-position model. The record is from RNAcentral.